UCCUAAGUAGUUAUCCUAAUUACUUAUGAAUUACCAUGCAUAUUUUGAAGGUUAGGCUUCCUAAAGUGUGUUCUACAUGGACCUCCAAUCUAGAAAGUAUAUCAAACAUGCAACCCGUCUGGACGUUUGGAUCAAAUCUAAACAUGAAAGACUCAUUAAGCUUUAUGAAAACCUUUUAAAAAACCAUGCAAUCCUUAAGGCAUGAUAUUCGCCCUAAGUGAACUUACAAUUAUUAACCACAAGAAGCCAUAGUUAAUUCCAGGGAACCUUUUGACCAAAAUUGCAUCAAACUACUUUUCUAAACAUCCUAGUGGUAGUAAGCCUUAAGACAAUAGAUACUUUAAACGCGAUGAUUAAUAAUUCAAAAUAUACAUGCAUAAUAUCAUAAGUAAAUUGAAAAGAAACUACAUAUUCUUGCUUAAGCCUCAUGGCCUUGUUGAGCAAAAGAAAGUUAGUUACGCAUAUUUAUAAUUAAAAACCAAAAAAAUAUCAUUAAGAAGUAAACGAAGGAAAACACCUUGUAUCAAAGUAACAAUCAUCAAAACCCUAAGUCGAAUUCUGCAAAGUAAUGCAUAGAGAAUCACAAUGGCCGCCUAGGCCUCAUUUAUACUAGAUAAAUCCUUAUUAAAAAAGGUCUUCUAAAAACUAGGAAACAAAAUAACUUAAGAUAAACUAGGAGAUACACUCCUACAUUAGUGUGGAGAAUCUGCCCAGUUAACAGAAAUGCCACUUUCAUAGCUUAAAACACCUCCAAAGCAGGCCCAAGAAGUCUAUUUUUAAAGUUUGAUUUGUCCAUAACAUAUUUGCAAAAUGGCCCAUUGCCAUAAAACAUCAUAAUGGACGCCAAAAAGCCCAAAUAAACCCAAAACGUCACAUUGACAGCUUCAAAUGCUAGUCCUUUAUUUCUCCACCACAAUUAACCGCUUGCCAUAAAAAUUUGAAACUCUGAUACGAACAAGUUGAGAGACUCACAACCAUUGUCAAUUGGAAUCACUCCCAAAUUUAUCCAUUUGAUCAUUUUUUGCUCAAAAGGAAGUCACAAGUCUUACAUUAGAAAUAUAAACCGAAGUAUCAAAGUCUCACCAAAAUAAUUAUCAAAACAUAUUAAGAAUUGGGUAAAAUAUUUAAUACAAAAUUGACUCAUCAAAAUACUAUCAAACUUAGCUUUUUACUUGCCCUCAAGUGAAACAAAACUAA
Molecule: long non-coding RNA, 1197 nt
Filed under: Malus domestica (apple)
Lineage: Eukaryota; Viridiplantae; Streptophyta; Magnoliopsida; Rosales; Rosaceae
Description: long non-coding RNA (MDOM_LNC010244)
Source: RNAcentral